CCUACGGGCGACAGCAGUGAGGAAUAUUGGUCAAUGGGCGUAAGCCUGAACCAGCCAAGUCGCGUGAGGGAUGACGGCCCUAUGGAUUGUAAACCUCUUUUACAAGGGAACAAAGUGCGGCACGUGUGCUAUUUUGUAUGUACCCUAUGAAUAAGGAUCGGCUAACUCCGUGCCAGCAGCCGCGGUAAUACGGAGGGUCCGAGCGUUAUCCGGGUUUAUUGGGUUUAAAGGGUGCGUGGGCCGCCUUUUAAGUCAGCGGGUAAAGUCUGUGGCUCAACCCUAGUAUGGCCGUUGAAACUGGGGGGCUUGAGUGUGUGUGAGGCAGGCGGAAUGCGUGGUGUAGCGGUGAAAUGCUUAGAUAUCACGCAGAACCCCGAUUGCGAAGGCAGCCUGCCGGGCCACGACUGACGCUGAUGCACGAAAGCGUGGGGAUCGAACAGGAUUAGAUACCCUGGUAGUC
Molecule: ribosomal RNA, 460 nt
Filed under: uncultured bacterium
Lineage: Bacteria
Description: partial 16S ribosomal RNA
Rfam family: Bacterial small subunit ribosomal RNA
Source: RNAcentral